AACGAACGCUGGCGGCGCGUCUUAAGCAUGCAAGUCGAACGGCAAGAGAGGAGCUUGCUUCUCUCCUAGAGUGGCGGACUGGUGAGGAACACGUGGGUAAUCUACCCUUAAGAUGGGGAUAGCUGCUAGAAAUAGCAGGUAAUACCGAAUACACUCGGCAUAUCACAAGAGGUGUUGAGGAAAGGAAGCUACGGCUUCGCUUGAGGAUGAGCUUGCGUCCCAUUAGCUAGUUGGUGAGGUAAAGGCCCACCAAGGCGACGAUGGGUAUCCGGCCUGAGAGGGUGAACGGACACAUUGGGACUGAGAUACGGCCCAAACUCCUACGGGAGGCAGCAGCUAAGAAUAUUCCGCAAUGGACGGAAGUCUGACGGAGCGACGCCGCGUGGAUGAAGAAGGCUGAAAAGUUGUAAAAUCCUUUUGUUGAUGAAGGAUAAGGGUGAGAGGGAAUGCUCAUCUGAUGACGGUAAUCGACGAAUAAGCCCCGGCUAAUUACGUG
This 496-nucleotide ribosomal RNA is filed under the name uncultured bacterium. RNAcentral's name for it is "partial 16S ribosomal RNA". It matches the Rfam family "Bacterial small subunit ribosomal RNA", at positions 29 to 507 of the family's 1533-position model. The record is from RNAcentral.